This 328-nucleotide ribosomal RNA is filed under the name uncultured eukaryote. RNAcentral describes it as "partial 18S ribosomal RNA". It matches the Rfam family "Eukaryotic small subunit ribosomal RNA", at positions 1470 to 1796 of the family's 1831-position model. The record is from RNAcentral.
CCCUUAGAUGUUCUGGGCUGCACACGCGCUACACUGAAGGGAUCAGCGUGUUCUUUUCCUGGUCCGAAAGGGUCGGGUAACCCGCUGAACCCCCUUCGUGGUAGGGAUCGGAGCUUGCAAUUAUUCUCCGUGAACCAGGAAUUCCCAGUAAGCGCAAGUCAUAAGCUUGCGUUGAUUACGUCCCUGCCCUUUGUACACACCGCCCGUCGCUACUACCGAUUGGACGUUUUAGUGAGGAUUUUGGACUGAGCCAAUGGUGGUUCACACCACUGUUGUGCAUGGAAAGAUCUCCAAACUUGAGCGUUUAGAGGAAGUAAAAGUCGUANCA